RNAcentral lists this ribosomal RNA (361 nucleotides) under uncultured soil bacterium. RNAcentral describes it as "bacterial SSU rRNA". It matches the Rfam family "Bacterial small subunit ribosomal RNA", at positions 26 to 398 of the family's 1533-position model. The record is from RNAcentral.
AGAUUGAACGCUGGCGGCAUGCCUAACACAUGCAAGUCGAACGGGAGUAGCAAUACUCUAGUGGCGGACGGGUGAGGAAUACGUAGGAAUUUGCCCUUAAGUGGGGGAUAACCCGGGGAAACCCGGAUUAAUACCGCAUGACCUCGAAAGAGCAAAGUGGGGGAUCGCAAGACCUCACGCUUUUGGAGAAGCCUACGUCGGAUUAGCUAGUUGGUGAGGUAAUGGCUCACCAAGGCGACGAUCCGUAACUGGUCUGAGAGGAUGAUCAGUCACACCGGAACUGAGACACGGUCCGGACUCCUACGGGAGGCAGCAGUGGGGAAUAUUGGACAAUGGGCGCAAGCCUGAUCCAAGCAAAGUG